AUCGUCAGAAGGUUCCACUUACUGCAGAACUCUGUCUCCAGAGAGCGUGGAUUCUAACUAGUUUUUUUCCACCUCUAAAAAAGUGGCUAGCUCAUCAUUAUUGUCCUCAUUUUUUAGGAAGGAACCACAUGUGAAACCACUUACCUGUUUAACCCUAUGAACUUGAAGAGAACAUGUAAUGCCACUUAAAAUACCUAAGCUCGGGUUCUGCCUUCAGCGACUCCUGGUAGUAGUGCCCUUAUGAGCCAUUUAUCAAGAAGGCUUUAAGAUACAAGAUACUUCAAUGAAUAAAACAAAGACCUUUGCUUUCCUGAAACUUGAGAUCAAAUGGAGGACACACAAAAACAACGCACCUACAAAUCACCAUAUUGUGUGUCAGGAGCUGAGGAUGCUAUGAAAACCCCUUGAGGAAACAAAGGCACCUUGGGGGCCAUUGAGAACUCCUGACGAAGAGGGCUCAGCUGCCAGACCUGCUCAAGAAAGACCUCAGAAAUCUCUAUGGGGCUGUCAGAAGAAAAGGUUUGAAAAGGGUCUGGAGAGACUGAAAUUUGUCUGCCUUGGACUUUUCUUUUGACAAUUCACAUCCAACUUAAGCAGAAUCAUUGUUUAUUCUUAUUAUGCCAGGUUUCCUUUUCUGGUCUGCAGGUUCUCUAGGGUUUCAUAGGCUAGUAGUUGGAAUUUUCAUAUUUCCAAAGCAUUGGGGAUUUUGCAAAAACAAAAUCUAAAGGAUAUUCAGCAGCACAGUUUACUUAGGAGGUUUUAAUCAUAAUAAUCUGCAUAAUGUAUGAGAAUUUCUACCUCAGCUGCCUCCUUUCUUUCUCUUUCGUGUCUGGGAAAAAGCCAGGGAUUUUUCCCUUCCUCUGAUUUAAAUACCUUAUAAAAUUUUGGUGGAAGCAUUUUGUCCUAUUCUGUCUUCCUGAUUCAUUUUCUGCUGUAAUGAGCAAAAUUAAUUUGCAAGAGCUGCUACUGACAUAGUGUAAUAAACUGGGUCAUAGGUAGAAUCAGUGCCGCCUUAUGACCCUUAGCUGUCAUUGCUUUAAGGAAUUUGGCAUGGUCCUCGAAGGCCAGAAGGCAAUGUGGGUUGCAUCCUACAGCUUUUGAGAUCUCAGAGACUUACUGCACCCAUGGCUGGGAAUGAACUGUAAAUGCUGACACUGGUAACUAGGUGCCAAACUGAAGUGAUCACAACCUAAUCUGAGCCAAAAGGCAUUUCUUUGCAUCAGGCAUAAAGCAACAUCAAACUCCCAUAACCCACACACAACACAGAAAUCAUUACUGAAGAGAUUCAACAUCAUCAUGCCAGACACUAAGUGAGUUAUUUCUCUCCUUCCCUGUCUCACCACAGUUUCCUCCCACUUGGUCACACAUGGUAAGCAUUCAUGUGUGCGAAGGCAUUUUAUGCCUUCGACCUAACCCCGACCACAGUCCCCUAGUCUUAUCAGAGAUCUGCACUCCCCACCAUUUGAGCACGAUGGAGUGCAUAUUUCCAGUGCAAAAAGACUGAUAUCAUUAUGAUUUUCAUUAACUAGUUGCCAGCUUGCAUUCUUUUUUCUCCCUUUUUUUCUCUCUCAACAGCACUUCUGUCCUCAGCCCAACCCCAGCCAGAAAAGGUGUUGCUACAUUCAGUGAAAAAUUAUUAUUAGUAUAGACAUGAAAUUUGAUGAUAAUGUAGAUUGUUUUGUGUCAUCUGCAGGCUGUCACAAUACACUCUGCAUCACUGAAAUGUGUUGACCAGAAGGAUGAUGGUGUUGUCAUGAUACUGAGGUCUUUUAAUUAAUUACUUUGUGACUUUCAUAGCAUUUAGAAAACGGAGAACAGGGUAUUUUCUUGAACAGCCUAGCCAAAUGAAAAACUGGUUACUAAUGUAUGUUAUCUUCAUGAAUGAAGGCAUAAAAUAAUAAAAACAAACAAAUUAAAAAUUGUUAAUAAAUUAAUAACUAAUAAAAAUAAAUAAAAUAAA
This 1960-nucleotide long non-coding RNA is filed under the name Homo sapiens (human). RNAcentral's name for it is "uncharacterized LOC105377543, transcript variant 2 (LOC105377543)". Lineage: Eukaryota; Metazoa; Chordata; Mammalia; Primates; Hominidae. The record is from RNAcentral.